RNAcentral lists this transfer-messenger RNA (409 nucleotides) under Pseudomonadota bacterium. It matches the Rfam family "transfer-messenger RNA". Rfam says of the family: Bacterial tmRNA, also known as 10Sa RNA or SsrA, is named for its dual tRNA and mRNA-like properties. Its role is to liberate the mRNA from a stalled ribosome. To accomplish this part of the tmRNA is used as a reading frame that ends in a translation stop signal. Lineage: Bacteria; Pseudomonadati; Pseudomonadota. The record is from RNAcentral.
GGGGGUGUCCUGGCUUCGACGGGGGUAGUGCGAUUGCUUGGUGCAUGCCGAGGAGGCGACUUCCCUCGUUAAUCCAGUUGCAAAACAUAUAGUUGCCAAAAACAACUUGAACACUGUGGCUGCAAACGAUAGCGAUUUCCACAUGGCGAUCGCUGCCUAAGAAGCCUUCGGCCCCAUAAAGGCCCAGUCCCGAACCGGUCUUGUGCUCAUGCUCGCCGGUGUAGGGUCAUUAUCAUGAGAUCGCCCGAAGACCGCCGCCUGCCGGUCCAGAGCUAAAUCUAGCGGGUUUGUCCAUCGAUGCGUUUUGCACAUCGUACUGUCGGCGGACGAAAUUCAACGGUGAGCUAAGCAUGUAGAACUGGGAAUCAAACAUCUUCGGACGCGGGUUCGACUCCCGCCACCUCCACCA